Molecule: small nuclear RNA, 274 nt
Filed under: Monodelphis domestica (gray short-tailed opossum)
Lineage: Eukaryota; Metazoa; Chordata; Mammalia; Didelphimorphia; Didelphidae
Description: 7SK RNA
Rfam family: 7SK RNA
About the family: 7SK was discovered as an abundant small nuclear RNA in the mid-70s but a possible function has only recently been suggested. Two independent studies have found that 7SK RNA binds the CDK9/cyclin T complex (known as elongation factor P-TEFb). P-TEFb activates transcription by phosphorylating the C-terminal domain of RNA polymerase II.
Source: Rfam by way of RNAcentral
GGCUAUGAGGGUGAUCUGACUGCAACAUUUAUCACGCCAUUGAUCAUCAGGGUUGAUUCAGCUGAUCUGGCAGGCUAGGUGGGUGUCCCCUUUCUAACUCACCACUCCAUUGUGCAUCCCUCCCGAAGCUGCUUGAUCGGUCAAAGAAGAUGACCUUUCCUGAUAGAGGUGUACAGAUCUUCUGUCAAGGGUAUAGGAGUAGCUAAAAGCUAACUCCUCUUCAUUACUCACUGUCCUAUUUCUCUAUUCCUAACCAUAUAGCACUGGAUAUUAU